This 462-nucleotide ribosomal RNA is filed under the name uncultured bacterium. Its description in RNAcentral is "partial 16S ribosomal RNA". It matches the Rfam family "Bacterial small subunit ribosomal RNA", at positions 29 to 507 of the family's 1533-position model. The record is from RNAcentral.
AGUGAACGCUGGCGGCGUGCCUAAUACAUGCAAGUCGAACGGAGAUUAAGUAGCUUGCUAUUUAAUCUUAGUGGCGCACGGGUGAGUAAUAUAUAGCUAACUUGCCCAUUACUAAGGGACAACAGUUGGAAACGACUGCUAAUACCUUAUACUCCGUAUCUAUAUAAGUAGAUACGGGAAAGUUUUUCGGUAAUGGAUAGGGCUAUAUCGUAUCAGCUAGUUGGUAAGGUAAUGGCUUACCAAGGCUAUGACGCGUAACUGGUCUGAGAGGAUGAUCAGUCACACUGGAACUGAGACACGGUCCAGACUCCUACGGGAGGCAGCAGUAGGGAAUAUUGCUCAAUGGGGGAAACCCUGAAGCAGCAACGCCGCGUGGAGGAUGACACUUUUCGGAGCGUAAACUCCUUUUCUUGGGAAAGAAUUAUGACGGUACCCAACGAAUAAGCACCGGCUAACUCCGUG